UAAGGAAUAUUGGUCAAUGGACGCAAGUCUGAACCAGCCAUGCCGCGUGCAGGAUGAAGGCCUUCGGGUUGUAAACUGCUUUUGUACGGAACGAAAAGGUUUGGCCUAAUAAGCUGAGCUCAUGACGGUACCGUAAGAAUAAGCACCGGCUAACUACGUGCCAGCAGCCGCGGUAAUACGUAGGGUGCGAGCGUUAAUCGGAAUUACUGGGCGUAAAGCGUGCGCAGGCGGUUAUGCAAGACAGAUGUGAAAUCCCCGGGCUCAACCUGGGAACUGCAUUUGUGACUGCAUAGCUGGAGUGCGGCAGAGGGGGAUGGAAUUCCGCGUGUAGCAGUGAAAUGCGUAGAUAUGCGGAGGAACACCGAUGGCGAAGGCAAUCCCCUGGGCCUGCACUGACGCUCAUGCACGAAAGCGUGGGGAGCAAACA
This 427-nucleotide ribosomal RNA is filed under the name uncultured bacterium. RNAcentral describes it as "bacterial SSU rRNA". It matches the Rfam family "Bacterial small subunit ribosomal RNA", at positions 355 to 774 of the family's 1533-position model. The record is from RNAcentral.